UGGGGAAUAUUGCGCAAUGGGGGAAACCCUGACGCAGCGACGCCGCGUGCGGGAUGAAGGCCUUCGGGUUGUAAACCGCUUUUGAUUGGGAGCAAGCCUUUUGGGUGAGUGUACCUUUCGAAUAAGCCCCGGCUAACUACGUGCCAGCAGCCGCGGUAAUACGUAGGGGGCUAGCGUUGUCCGGAAUCACUGGGCGUAAAGGGUUCGCAGGCGGAAUAACAAGUCAGAUGUGAAAGGCAUGGGCUCAACCCAUGUAAGCAUUUGAAACUGUAAUUCUUGAGAAGUGGAGAGGUAAGUGGAAUUCCUAGUGUAGCGGUGAAAUGCGUAGAUAUUAGGAGGAAUACCUGUGGCGAAGGCGACUUACUGGACACAAAUCUGACGCUGAGGAACGAAAGCGUGGGUAGCAAACAGG
RNAcentral lists this ribosomal RNA (412 nucleotides) under Verrucomicrobiota bacterium. RNAcentral describes it as "Verrucomicrobia bacterium partial 16S ribosomal RNA". It matches the Rfam family "Bacterial small subunit ribosomal RNA", at positions 355 to 776 of the family's 1533-position model. Lineage: Bacteria; Pseudomonadati; Verrucomicrobiota. The record is from RNAcentral.